RNAcentral lists this ribosomal RNA (780 nucleotides) under Austrolecia sp. 2 SPO-2012. RNAcentral describes it as "eukaryotic LSU rRNA". The stretch from base 467 to 620 matches the Rfam family "5.8S ribosomal RNA". Lineage: Eukaryota; Fungi; Ascomycota; Lecanoromycetes; Lecanorales; Catillariaceae. The record is from RNAcentral.
GAAGUAAAAGUCGUAACAAGGUUUCCGUAGGUGGCACGUUUUGCUUCCGGAGCCCCGGCAGCGACUCUAAAUAAACGCCCGAGUCGGUCCUCGCGAGGCCUGGCGACGCCAUCAAUCUGGGCUGGAAGCAUCUUCGUGGUGCGAUCAGCAGCUCCUUGCCCCCUGGCAGCGAGUCCACAGAUCAAACGAUAGCGGCCGCCCAGUGCGGUUCAGAUAUGAUCGGCCCCAGCUGCGUACCCGCUGGCGAUUUUGCGGAACCUGCGGAAGGAUCAUUACCCGAGGAGGGGGGGCGACCCCCCAAUCUUACCGUCGGGCUCCGCUGUUCGCAGUCGACCCGGGGUCUCUCCACCCUAUGUAUACCCUACCAUUGUUGCUUUGGCGGGCUCGAGGCUUUGCCCCGCGCUCGCCAGAGGCCCAUUAAAUACUGCUCAUUAGUGAUGUCCGAGUCAAAAACACAAUAGUUAAAAACUUUCACCAACGGAUCUCUUGGUUCUGGCAUCGAUGAAGAACGCAGCGAAAUGCGAUAAGUAAUGUGAAUUGCAGAAUUCAGUGAAUCAUCGAAUCUUUGAACGCACAUUGCGCCCCUCGGUAUUCCGGGGGGCAUGCCUGUUCGAGCGUCAUUACACCCCUCAAGCGUAGCUUGGUAUUGGGUCCUCGCUCCCUGGGCGUGCCCGAAAAGCAGUGGCGGUCCGGUGUGGAUUCAAGCGUAGUAAAUUUCUCCCGCUCUGAAGAAGCCCCGCGGCCAGCCAAUAACCGCCCAACUUUCAAAACAUGACCUCG